Molecule: RNA transcript, 2622 nt
Organism: Ornithorhynchus anatinus (platypus)
Lineage: Eukaryota; Metazoa; Chordata; Mammalia; Monotremata; Ornithorhynchidae
Gene: AMH
Gene name: anti-Mullerian hormone
Exons: 8
Source: RefSeq, a predicted model, not a curated record
GUAAGGAAGGGGUGGAAGCGUAGCCGCUGGCUUUUUAUCCUGCCGGUGACUUACUUCCACACGGCGGAAAGAUUCAUAGUCUUCAAGCUGUUAGAUUCCAAAAGUUUCUGAGUCAUUAAGCCCAAAAUGAAAGACUUGUUCUAUCCAAAUCGGCUGUUUAUGUUGCUACUGUUGUCACUGACGGUAGCUCUGCCAAGGAAAGGAAGCCGAGAGGUAAGAGUUGAUUCCACUAACGGGUUUUUACCUACCUUCGCUAAGGACCAGUUGCGUCAUAGCCAAACAGAGGAGCACGGAAAUAUCGGACAAAGUUCUGGGCGAAAUAGGAUUGUCUCAACCAUAUCACACAGAAGUGGAGCCGCGGAUACCAGCCCAGCUAGGACCCAAAUAUUGACCGACCAUGGAAAUACUACUGCAGAUAUGUGGGGAAAAUACAUUUUCCGCCCUGCGUCUCUGACCGGCCUGAGAGAGCCAGUGUGCCGUAUCAAGUUGGGCACGGGCGGCAACUUAGACAACUAUCAUCUGGAAGUGGUGGGUUCUCUGAGCAAUUAUGAGAAUUUCUUCUUGGAGGCGGUGAAGCAGUCUCACUGGAGACUUGACGACUUGGCCACCUUUGGUAUUUGCCCUCAAGGAAAUGCAAAAAUAAUUCUCUCGUUGCGACGUUUGGGAGAAUGGCUUGCAGAGCCAGGUCAGCAACACCUCGUGGUGCUUCAUCUAGAGGAAGCAAUAUGGAAGUUGGACCUGGAGUUAAGGUUCCGGGAGCUACAAGAUGCAGGUGGUACUGCACUGUUAGGUGACCUGAAGCUGAUGUUGCUGGUAUUUUAUCCAGGACUGGAGAGUCAAAGGUUCAAAUCUGGCCAAGAGUUCAUGGUUUCUGGAGAUGGGCUGCAACAGGAGCAGAGUCUUUGCCUUUCCAGCAACACUCGCUUCCUAGUUCUUGGUGUAGAAGGGAAAUUCAGAGGUUGGCAGCUCCGAUCCAGACUUUCUUUGAUGCUUUGGCCCCUCGGCAAUGAUGGGCUGCGUCUAUCUACUUUGGAGCUCCAACCCUUACUAUUUGGUUCUGAUGACAAAUGCUUCACACGGAUGACUCCAGUGCUGUUUCUACUUCAGCAGCAGAAGCCACUUAGAGAAUUGCAGCCCACACCUAUUGAAGAGUGGCUAAAAAUAACAUCAAAUCCACUACCCAGCAGGCUUACUCCAGAACCCAAAGAAGUGCAUGGUACAACUGUGUCCCCUUCAACUCUCUCAGACCGUUUUCUGAAGGCCCUGGUGUAUUUGGUCCGCACUGUUCUGAACUCUCCAUUUGUUCUGCGUAACCCUACCAACCUGCAUCUAGAUCUGGAUUCCAAAGCCCUGAAGGGCCACCCUCAACAGUUCUUCAAUUUCUCAGAGCCAGCUGCCCUGAAACAACUGGUGGAAUCAGAGGAGCCACUCUUAUUGCAGCUCCCAGCUGGCAGUCUGGCACUGCUGGAAAAACAAGCAGAGCAGUGGCAGCCUAAGCAGGAACUAGUUCAGCAUCUUUCAUCCAAACUACAAGCAGUUGUAGCAGAUCUUUUGGAACUACCUGCCUUGAAGCCCCACAUAAUGCUUCUGCAGAGAUUGUUAGACUUCUGUCAGAUAGCCAAAAGCAGCAACAGGUCCCAGGAUCCUCCCUCCCAACUAUAUGCAUUGCUGCUGCUCAAAGUCCUUCAGAGCUUACGGGCUGAGUGGCAGGAGCGCUGGAAACUAUCUCGGGUACAGCGCAGUGUUGAGAAUGAGGAUCGGUGUAAGCUGCAAGAACUGACUGUGGACUUGCGCUUAGAGCAUUCAGUGCUAAUCCCUGAAACUUACAUGGCCAAUAAUUGUCAAGGCCUCUGCAAUUGGCCUCAAUCUGACCUCAACCCCAACUACAACAAUCAUGUGGUGUUACUACUCAAGAUGCAAGCACGUGGAGCGGAACUGACCCGUGGACCCUGUUGUGUGCCCAUCACCUAUGCAGAGAAGACUCUCAUUAGCCUCUCUGAAGAAGGCCUUAGUGCACGCCUCAUGCCUAAUAUGGUGGCUAUUCAGUGUGGCUGCCGUUAGGCCCCCUCUCCUACUCACCCAUUUAACACUGCCUCGAUUUUUACUGGACUCAACUUCUCUCUCCUCAUUUGGGUUUUCUUGUUUCCAGCAGUCAUGGGAUUUAUUCAAAAAGAAGUGGCAGAUCUUUAAUCAUCAACAUAAGCAGAAAUUUUUAUCAACUGUCUGACUUCAUAUUAGUCUUUAGAUUCAGGAGUCUAGACCAAACCUGAAAAGUUUUGAGGGCUCAGUCCCCAAAGCUAUAUUUUGGGUCUCACCUAUUAAGAAGAGAACUUCACGUUCUUGUUUCAUUACAGUCUGGAGCAUCAAAUAUGGGACUUUAAUUGCCUAUGGAGAGCCAGCACUCAAAUAAAACUGAAGUCAGAUUCCAGUAAGAUCCAGAAAGACUCGAACAAAGUCAGGAAUGAAGAUUUUGGCAAGACAAAAAUAUGCUUAGCUGAGAGAAGAAACAGAGGUUCAAAAGAUAGAUUUUGGAUGAGGUAACUGAGACACAGAGAAGUUAAGUGACUUGCCUACAGUCACACAGCUGACAAGUGGCAGAGAGAAUGAGCCUACCAUCUCUCC